CAAAUUUAAGCUUAAUAACAAAAAAAAAAAAAAAAAGAAAAACAAAUCAGCAAAUAGAGAUAUAAGUGUUAUCAGUAAUUACAAAACUGACAAGGCAUCAACAUUAUGUGGAUCAAAUAAAUUAACAAUGUCAUGAUAACUAAAAAAAAAUUCAAAUCAGAGUGAAUAAAGAGUCUCAAAUCAGAUUGACGUCAAAAGUGUCAAUAAGAGUAAAUCAAGAAUCUUAAAUCAGAGGGAAUCAAGUCUCAUAUCAGAAUAAAUCAAUAAUCUCAAAUCCUAGUGAAGAGUUGCAUUCAAGUAAGUGAAUGAACUACCCAUGCCACAAACUAAAUUCUAAUUCAUCUAAAUCCUCCACCAGGUAAAAACUUGCAAAACAUUGUUAACUUCAGUUCAUUUAAAUUUUCAUUUUUUUUUUUGCUUCCAACACAGUACCUUUUUGUCUUGGGACAUUGA
Non-coding RNA from Biomphalaria pfeifferi, 453 nucleotides. The record is from the annotation of a GenBank genome assembly. NCBI's taxonomy places the organism in Eukaryota, Metazoa, Mollusca, Gastropoda, Planorbidae.